GAGAGUACAUUCUCUACGUCAUUGAGUGUCAGAUUCAGAUGACUGGAUCUGGAAUUUUUUCUGAUUUUUUUUCGCUUUCUCAAGAUUUGCAUUUAAAAAUUGAGUGGGAAUAGUCAAAGAAUAAUAGUUUAAGAACGAAAU
Molecule: non-coding RNA, 141 nt
Organism: Caenorhabditis elegans
Lineage: Eukaryota; Metazoa; Nematoda; Chromadorea; Rhabditida; Rhabditidae
Source: Ensembl